AAAACAUCUUCUCUUGUGAUAAUUCGAGAUAUAACCUGCCCAGUGAUAUAUUUAUUGAAUGGCUGCGGUAUUUUGACCGUGCAAAGGUAGCAUAAUCAUUAGUUUAUUAAUUGUAAUCUUGUAUGAAUGGUUUAAUGAAAUAUUUACUGUCUUCUUUAAUAUAUAUAUAAUUUAAUUUUUUUAUUAAAAAGUUAAAAUUUAUUUAAGGGACGAGAAGACCCUAUAGAUCUUUAUUUAAUUUAAUUUUUAUUAAUUAAUUUAUUUUUAAAUAUUUAAUUGAAUUGUUGGGGUGACAGGGGGAAAUAAAAAACUCUUUUUAUUAUUUUUCAUUUAUUUAUGUUUUUUUAUUAUUUAUUAUUUUAUAUAAUUAGAUACCUUAGGGAUAACAGCGUAAUUUAAUUUGAGAGUUCAUAUUGACAAUUAAGAUUGCGACCUCGAUGUUGGAUUAAGAUAAAUAUUUGAUGUAGAAGUUAAUAUAUUUGGUCUGUUCGACCAUUAAAUUCUUACA
This 508-nucleotide ribosomal RNA is filed under the name Abrosoma festinatum. Its description in RNAcentral is "partial 16S ribosomal RNA". The stretch from base 382 to 508 matches the Rfam family "Bacterial large subunit ribosomal RNA", at positions 2473 to 2600 of the family's 2925-position model. Lineage: Eukaryota; Metazoa; Arthropoda; Insecta; Phasmatodea; Aschiphasmatidae. The record is from RNAcentral.